Molecule: unclassified non-coding RNA, 214 nt
Filed under: plant metagenome
Description: partial contains small subunit ribosomal RNA, internal transcribed spacer 1, and 5.8S ribosomal RNA
Source: RNAcentral
UCUCCGUAGGUGAACCUGCGGAGGGAUCACUACAGCCUAGCAAAAGUUCUGAAACCACUGUUUAACUACCUGAAUCUGCUUCGGCGGGCGGUCCCACGUCGGGGCCGUUGCCGAAAGGCGCCCGCCGAAGACCCCUAAACUCUGUCGUCUUGUGAAUCUCUGAGUACCAUAUUAAACAAAAAAACAACUUUUAACAACGGAUCUCUUGGCUCUC